UAAACUGAAGAGUUUGAUCCUGGCUCAGAUUGAACGCUGGCGGCAUGCCUAACACAUGCAAGUC
RNAcentral lists this ribosomal RNA (64 nucleotides) under Chromatiales bacterium. Its description in RNAcentral is "partial 16S ribosomal RNA". It matches the Rfam family "Bacterial small subunit ribosomal RNA", at positions 1 to 63 of the family's 1533-position model. The record is from RNAcentral. Lineage: Bacteria; Pseudomonadati; Pseudomonadota; Gammaproteobacteria; Chromatiales.